UGAGGAAUCUUCCGCAAUGGGCGAAAGCCUGACGGAGCAACGCCGCGUGAAUGAAGAAGGCCUUCGGGUCGUAAAGUUCUGUCUUUAGGGAAGAAGGCCCUUGAGGUAAAUAAUCUUGAGGGAUGACGGUACCUGAGGAGGAAGCUCCGGCUAACUACGUGCCAGCAGCCGCGGUAAUACGGAGGGAGCGAGCGUUGUCCGGAAUUACUGGGCGUAAAGGGCGCGUAGGCGGGUAAUUAAGUCAGAUGUGAAAGCCCCGGGCUUAACUCGGGGAGUGCAUUUGAAACUAAUUAUCUUGAGGGCAGGAGAGGAAAGUGGAAUUCCUAGUGUAGCGGUGGAAUGCGUAGAUAUUAGGAGGAACACCAGUGGCGAAGGCGACUGUCUGGAGGGUACGUGACGUGGGUGUGAGAGAGAGUGGGGGGCAAACGGUAGUAGAUAACAGAGUAGGU
RNAcentral lists this ribosomal RNA (449 nucleotides) under uncultured prokaryote. RNAcentral's name for it is "bacterial SSU rRNA". It matches the Rfam family "Bacterial small subunit ribosomal RNA", at positions 355 to 794 of the family's 1533-position model. The record is from RNAcentral.